AGAGUUUGAUCAUGGCUCAGGACGAACGCUGGCGGCGUGCUUAACACAUGCAAGUCGAACGGGAUUCAACCAGUGGCAACACUGGGGAAGAUCUAGUGGCGAACGGGUGCGUAACACGUGAGGAACCUACCCCGGUCUCUGGAAUAACAGGUGGAAACACCUGCUAAUACCGGAUGCCGUCGGACCAUCGCAUGGUGGACCGACGAAAGAAUUUCGGAUCGGGACGGCCUCGCGGCCUAUCAGCUUGUUGGUGGGGUAAUGGCCUACCAAGGCGUCGACGGGUAGCUGGUCUGAGAGGAUGAUCAGCCACACUGGGACUGAGACGCGGCCCAGACUCCUACGGGAGGCAGCAGUGGGGAAUCUUGCGCAAUGGGCGAAAGCCUGACGCAGCAACGCCGCGUGCGGGAAGAAGGCCCUCGGGUUGUAAACCGCUUUCAGCAGGAACGAAAAUGACGGUACCUGCAGAAGA
Molecule: ribosomal RNA, 469 nt
Filed under: uncultured Acidimicrobiales bacterium
Lineage: Bacteria; Bacillati; Actinomycetota; Acidimicrobiia; Acidimicrobiales
Description: bacterial SSU rRNA
Rfam family: Bacterial small subunit ribosomal RNA
Source: RNAcentral